UGCGUUUAUUUCUGCGCGUGUGAGUUCAAAUUUUGCAUUUUUGCUCCCUUAUAAUGCGCUAAUUUGAGUUUUCCCCUUUGACGAGAAACGCCAGAUACCUUCCUCGACGUGUGUCAAUUUUCGCUAGAACGUGCAAAUAUAAAUUGCACCAUCUUCCAAAAUCUCAGAAAGUGACAAGCGCAAGUCAUGUUUGUUCUUUUACUUACUUGAUUGACUCGGAUGACUAGGAGACUAUUGUAUUAAAGGAGAAUAACUGAAUUUCGCUAUCUUCGCGUGAUUAUUUCCACUUCUAUAUAUAUUAGAUAACAUUGAUGCUAGAUGGUUUAGAUUUGAGUAUUUUGUUUCCUUAUAUUAAACUCGUCAAGCAUAUUAUCCAGAAAAAAAAAACGAAUCGAGAUAUUUUCGGUCUCAUUGCGAUUUUUUCCAGGAAUUACACUUUAUAUAUCUACGAUAUCUUCUCUAUAUCUACAAUAUUUAUCGUUAAAUGUUAUUCGAUUAGAUUAUUCGAUUCUACAUGAUUUUGAAUAUUAACGUGAAAAAUGCCAAUCACUGAAAUGUGUCACUGAAAAACUGUGUUGCAAAUAAAUACAACUUUAAAUGAGUAUCGUAUUUCCCGUGUUUUUAUUAUAGUAUGUUAUCUAGAUUGAAUAAAAAAAAUUAGUGUUAUUCAUCGCAAUUGCAGUUUGUUAAUUGAAGGGAUAAAACAUCUUGAGUUAUUAAUACGCAUUGAACUAUUCACAUGCGCAAUGUAAUGACAACAUGACAAAGCAAUAAGUGAUUAAUCGAUGUUUAUUGAAUUCAAUUGAGACUAUUGCACGUUCGUCAAGCUGCGGCCAAUGAAAGUUAUUAAAAACUGAUCGUUACAUUUAUCGAUGUACCAACGAUGAGAAAAUGAGAGUGCUGAGUAAUUAUUAAAAUAAUUUUGAGUAUCCUGUUUUAUAUAUCUAAUGAAUACAAAUGUCCAUUAAUAAAAUUAUCAAUAAAGCUAUCGACACAAUCGAAACGACAAGCACGGAACGGCAGUAUGAGAUCAUAUUUAAUGGCGCCAAAGUAAAACAAAGUAUAAAUUAAAUUUCAAGAUUUCUUUAAAGUAGAGAUAGAAGAGAGAAAGAAGCGGGAAAGAGGUAGAGAGUAUAGAGUUCUUAUUCUUUGUAUUAAUUUGCAUUAUUUUUUAGAAUUUUAGAAUUUUUGAACACGGCAAAAUUAAUAUUAUCGUGAAAUAAAAGAAAUUGGCAACAAUUCUUUUCAUUACAAUAGUCAGGAAUCGAGACGUAUUUGUAAAAUUAAUGGGCUAUCACAAUUAUUAUACAUAUCGAACGCUACAUAUAUAGUUUGCUGUAAUAUCGUCAAUCAAAUAUCGCGGUGCUUUCGACGAAAAUAAUAUCAAGGCAUAUCACUAUGGUGUAUGAAUACGUCCGUCAACACGACCGAUAGUGAGAUCUAAACGACCAAUCACCUUGACACUGACUCGGCAAGGGAGCUAAUUCCGUACGAACAAAGAGGGAAGGGGGGGGGGGAGCAGAUGUGUUCAUCGUGCAAUAAGUCACACGUGAGCGAUACGCCGAAAUGACGGCGAGAUAUUCGCGGUACACAUGGUGCCGUGAUGUCGUCACGGAAUGACGAGGCGAAUCCGAGGAAUGACGUACCUCACAGCACAUUGCACGAGUUCUACCCCCCUUCGCCCCGCCCCCCAUACGCUUAGAUCUUCCAGAUCGUCGGGAUUACACGCGAUUGACACGAAUUCCAAGAGUGCGAUGAAUGGCCGAGCGACGACGGCCUUGCUUUCUAUGAGCUUGCCUUCGUGACGCCAAUUUCGAGGAGACGACAAUCGUAUAGAAUAAGAAUGCGCCUAUGAAAGUAAUUCAACGUCAUCGUUACGUUUUGCGCUCGCAGAUAGACGGUACUGUAGGUUGUGUAAGCGUUAGUAAUUCUAUUAUAAAUGUGAACCAACUAGCACUAACUUCUUGUAUUAAAGCUCCGAUUCCCUGUUUUGCAAGAAUUAUUUUUAAUGUAUGAAUAAUAAUUUAAUCUUGAAGGCGGUAAUGAGCGAGGUGAACACGAUGUGAUGAUAAAGUUGAAUAAUUCAUAAAAUUCAUGAAAAAUGAGCUUCUGGCUUUGUUACGCAUUUCACGGUUUCAAUUAUCGUGAUGUACUAGUACGUCGUGAAUACAAAUGACUGUGACAAAUGACUGGUUGAAUGUUAUUUUUAGAAAUAUGCAAAUGAAAGCCUCCUUACCUACUAUGCUUCACGCGCUCUUGGAAUUGUAAAACAAGAAACACUUCGGCAAAUAAAUUUCUUCAAGAAGCCUUUCCAUCUGUAUAGUUUACCCGCGCCGAAUAUUUAUACAUCUAACAGUGAUUGUAAAACGAAUAAAAGUUUUUUUUGUGUACAGUUAACUGUACAUUUGAUGAAGAAUGUGUUAAUUGCAUUGUUAGAAGAUUCAAGUCACAUAGAUGUGCUACUAAUAUUCUUUAUUUGGACGCGACGGGAACGAGAGGCAACAACAGCAGCAGCAGCAGCAGCAGCAGCAACAGUUGCAGCUUCGCGAAAUUACUCCCCGCCGCAUUGCUACGCGUCGCGUUACAUUGCCCGCCCGCUUGUAUUCAAAUGCUCGCGCAUUCGACGGGCUUUCCUCGAGCUUAAUGCGAGCCGGCUGGCGCUUGUUGUUUGCUCGGAUGUAUAAAUGCGGCGGACGCGAAGCGCGAGCUCCGCCGGGCGGUGUCAAGGAAUCCAAUAAAAGAGAACCCGGCGAAUUACAAGGCCCUCUCGCAGCACGCCGCAACCUUCCCCCCCCUUUCCUCUCGGACCGAGGAGAACGAGGAUUCCUCUCGGACAAAAUUCCAACGACUCUCGGCUAUUACCGCCAGAGAUUAUCCGCUCUCUUUCCUCGCACUUUUCGUCUCCCGCGAGGAGACGAAGGGGAGGAGAGAGGUAGGAAAAGGUCGCGGGGGUGCCCCCGCGGGGGUGCAGGGAGGAAGGGAGAUAACUCGCGCUAGUCCAGACGUUUACGAUCGUUCCGAGCCUUAACGAGGUUAAUCGCGAACCCCUGAAAACGAGCGUUGAGGUCGGCAGAGCCGGGAGAGCGUACACUUUAAACGCCACCGCGCGCGGGUCACACUCGCUUCCGGCGCUCUUGCUCUCGCUUUAGCUUUUGCCGCGGCCACUCGGCGUGUUUAGCGAGGUAGACACGAGCAUUUGACAUUUGUUAACGUUAGAAGCCGAGGAGGUCGCCAGCAAAUUGCGAACGGGCGACCUGGCUUCGUUACCUGACAAAGCAGAAGACUCUUUCCGUUUUCCAUCGCUCUCUCUCUCUCUCUCUCUCUCUCUCUCUCUCUCUCUCUCUCUCUCUCUCUCUCUUUGUGCUUUUCUGUUUUCGAAAGCAUGUAACCAUUUACUGCUCUGCGACGCGCAAUUUUAUAUCUAACCGUUUAUUCAUUAUAACUUCAACAACAGAGGUACGUAGACUUCAAAUUAAAAAUUUAUACAUCGCUAUUUAUAUUAAAUUAUAAUUCCAAGGAAAUUUAUGGACGAAAACUAGAGAUGGAAGAAAUUCCAAGCCAGCGACAAAACAGAUGUUUCCUCGUCUUUGUAAAACUGCGAUUUUAAGCUGGAUUUAAUAGAAGCUGCAUUUUACAUGGGCAAUUUCGUGUUGCAAUUAAUUAAAAAAAUUUUAACUUUAUUAGAAAAUUUACUUUAUUAGAAAAUUUUCUGCGUAAUGUGUUUUUUGAAUUAUAUUUGGUAUAUCGGAUUGUAUGUUACGGGAAGAUUGACGCGUUGCAUGAAAAAUUCAAACUUUUCCCUUAAUGUAGCCCGGUUUAGACUGUUCGCUGCUCAUUCACGUCCCGUGUAAUUAUGCUCCCAUAAAUCGCGAAUAAUAUCGCACACAUUUGGCCCAUUAUUUUACGGCCGUCUACUAAACGUAACACGCGGCGAUAAUAAAUUCUUAUAAUCGUAACUCGUAAUUAAAAUCUCGCCAUUCGACGGUACACGUGUAGCGUCGCGCAGGCCUGAGUGCAACAAAGGUGCUUGCACGAAAUUUGGAACGGAGAUGCAGAAUUCCGUAUUAAGCGGCAAGUUGAAGAGAGAGAGAGAGAGAGUGGGAGGGAGGGAGGGAGGGAGAGAGGCGAAUUAUAUCCGCACUGGAGAACACGAAUUAUUUAGGGAGCCUUUAAAAGGAAAGGAAAAGAGUGAGAAAACGCGUCUCUCAUUUGGCAUUUCCGCUAGCUCGCACCCUUGAUAUUCGCGCCGACAUUCUUCGCGCGCGAUCGCGAGUCUCUUCCGCAAAUUUACGAUUUCCGUUAUUAAACAAAAGUCUGUCGUUGCCCGCGACACGUUGAUUCUACUCAAGGCGGGGACAUCGGCGCGGAAGCGCUUUUCCUUUUCUCCCCGCGUUAUCUCGUGCCAUUUUCCUACUUUCAUCUCGGGAGAGACAAAAGUAUUUGCGGGAAAAUCGCUUAUUCGCGGAGCACGAAACGCGUUCCUCCCCUUUUCGUAAUCUCCAAUUUUUGUUGCGCGCGGGGAUAAUCAGUAGGCCGAUUCUAUCAAGUCCCGUAUCAAGCCUUAAUCAAUUCGAUCCGGACAACGAGCACGUUCCUCUACGUGGCUCGUACAUCGGCGACGUACAGGACGUUCCAAUGGGAAAACCGGCCGGGGCAAAUUCUCAAAGGAUCCGGCAACAUAUAAUCGUAUAAAUGCGCCCGUCGGCGCGUUUUGGUUGAUCGAACCUAUUGCACAUAAUCCUUGGACUGUGUAUGUCUUUACUUUUACGACGUGGCAUUUUUUAUUAUCUCCUUUUUAUACUACGUUCUUUAUUUUACGUUUUCUCUCAGCGAGUUGCGAUUUUUUCCUUCCCCGCUACCCGUUAGGGAAUUCGCUAAAAGUAAUGAUAAUAAAUGUUAUUACUAUUACGCAAUUAUGCAGAGACAUAGAUAUUCUUAUUUUACCUUAUAGUCUUCAAACCGGUUGGCGCACAUAAAGACAUCAGUACUCUAAAUUUCAUUGCUCCUAAAAAAUUUCAUUGUUCAUAAAAAGUUUUCAAUUUAAGGACAUCUUUUGAGAUUCCUUUUUCUUAAGUAGCACAUCGGCCAUCAAGGAAACGUCGUUAGAAAAAUGCCGAACGUUGAGAAACGGACUCGAGAUUUUUGAAGAAGGUCUCGUCCCACAUUUACUUAUUCCACAUUUACGUUGCACGUCUGGCGAGAUGGAAAUUGAACAGUACACCGGAGAGGAAAAGCGAGAGUUAACUCCGUCCACAAGAAUUCAAAUUACUUCAUCAAACGCCACGACGACGACGACGACGACGACGACGACGACGACGACGACGACCUCGCUUACCUCGGAACUGUCCUGUACGCGAAGCGAUCGUGUAAUCCGGCGCUUGCACGCGGCGGGCGUAUGAGGAGGGUGUGUGCAUGUCGCAGCGAGCGAGUGAUCGCGCGCGUGUUUACGCUUCGCGAUGUACGACACGUUCCUGCGCGACUGUAUACGUCUAUUACGUGUAUACGGGAUGUGCGGCUUAUGAGCACGUACAUGGGGGAUACGUGCGCACGUGUGUGUAUGCGUGUGCGCGCGUUCGUGUUUUGAUACGCCACCCCCGCCUGUGCAUAUCCGUGAUUUAAAAAUAUAAUAUAUUCAACGGCUGACCGCGCGCGCGCGUUGCCGUGCACCGUUUAGCUAUCCGACCAUAAUAGUCUCCCGUAAAGCUCCAUACUCUUUCCCUCCCGCGACGUCCCCUUUCCUCCUCCGCCGCCCCUUGCACGCGUCGCUUCGUUCUAUCUCAUAUCUCUCCACGUUGCCGGACUACCCCCUCCCCCCCCGUCCUCGCGUCCUCCUCUCCGCCCCCGGCGGUCUUGUGUUUUCUGAAUAUUUCUUUUUUUCUUUCCUGCGGACCACUGUAUCUUCCCGCUCUCGCUUUUAAACCGCAUCAAAGGGAUUUUUAACCGCGGCACUUUUGGCCGGACUGCGUGUAAUACACGUGGACACACCUAAUUUGCCACUUUUUCGUGCGCCGACAAAAGUCGUUGCGCUCUCUUGUGCGCGGAAAAUUUACUCCUCCCACCGUACGCGAGCGUUAAAAAAUUAACCCCGUGAUAACGUCUUGUCGCGAAUGAAUGCGAGAGAAGAGCCGACUUUAACAAAUAAAAAAAAACACAAUUUAACGUAUCAUUACGAGUAUCCCAUCCCAUCCAUUUAGGUAACGACAAUUUCGAAAGUUUGAUUAGUUUCUCUAGCGUCAGGAAGAUAAGCAACUCCGAAUUUUUCGACUAUCGACUUUGCAAUUAGACCGUCGAAAUCACGAGAAAUUAUUAUUGCCUCUUUGCAUAAAUAAGUAACGGACAAGCUUUUGAAGUUCACUUGCUUCGCGUGGACACGCGAAAUCUCGAUUGCGUUUCGUGACGCAACUCGUCGAAAGCUAAUACAGAACCCCAAAUCGGAUCUUGAUGGCGCGAUAUUGUCGAAACUUUGCGACUUGUGCCUUGUACUCGUGCAUAAGCGGCAAGCAGAAUUUUUUAUCAACGCCAAAGCCGUAGCCGAUCAUUAUCUUAUCUGCGUACCCUGCCCCAUUAACAUCGAUCGAGACCAAUUACAAAGGACACACACGACUUUUCUGAAUGCCUCCUUUUUUUUUUUGCUUCUCCGAUGCCCACUAUAUUUUUCACCUCGCAAUUAGACGCAUUCGUAUAUAGCUUGCUUCCGAGUUAUUCUUUUACGUAAUUAACCGUAAAGAUAAUCUUAUAUAUGUUGUGAAAAUAAAAAACCAGACUCAGUCAAUUUCUGCGCGAGUAAAAAAAUCCAAGCAUAAUUCAGGCAGAACUAAUUUACUUCUGCCCAUUAACUUUGCAUUCAGGUUCAUUGCAUUAUAUAGUCUGGGUUAUUUAUUUACAAACCGGAAGCUCAUUGGUAACCUGGCUCGGCGAUGUUGCGGCGGUAGAAGACGAGCCGGAGAAACGCCUGGCGUGCUGGUGGCUUAAUUGCUCGGGGAUUCCAGCUCGUUAUAGCCGGUGUCUCAGGUACGCUUACGUAGCCCGUUACAGCGGUUUCGCUAACCCAGUUCGCGACUCAGUUCCCCGGCCAUUUACCACGCGGACCCGAAAUUUCCAACGUCGUUGGAAUCUUAAGGCGAUCGUGACUUUACUCCUCGUUUAAUAGCCGCAAUUUAUUCGAUCUUUCCAUUUCUGAAUACGACGACGAUCGUAACGCGUCUCGCACGUUACCGUACACUUAGCCGAGGUUCAAGCAAAAAUAGCCGCGGUCACGCAAUUGUAUCAAAAUCCAGUGACGCAAAAUCUUAUUCGGAAGAAAACUUCAUCAAAAAAUAUAUCUUGACAUUACAUCAAAAGUGAUUGUUGUAUUGCUACAAUUCCCUUUAAAUUUUUCUUUGAAACGACGUACCCUCUUCCCAAUUCUUUUAUUUAACAGAUAAUUUUACCUCUUCUUUGUUUUACUUUAUUAUAAUUUUAGGAUUUUUAGUAUAAUUCGCUGUUUUCAGGCGAUUAAAAAUUACAAAUUGUUGACAUAUUGUAAUUACGACGCAACGUUUUACAUUUCACGAAAUCUAUUUCAUUUCACACAAAACAGUUCUUUCCAUUUCCUCGGUCUGUUGCGAUUUUCUCGUUGCUUGACAGUUAGUGUCGCCAACAUUUAUCCGACGGACUCGCGGAUCAAUCCGUGGCUCUCUGGUUGCUACCUCCCUCACUUUUGUACUGUCUUGUGAAAAUUUCUCGAUGUGCACCACCGGCGAGUCUAUCUUCGGGGUGUAAUUCGCGAACGUCAACGGAAUACCAAUGUCGUCGUCGCCGUCGGUGUUCUCUAUCGUCGUCUCCUCGCCGUUCUCCAUUCUCUCCGUGAGUGGUCAUAAAAGUUUAGAGGAAACCCCGUUCGGAAUAGGGAGAGGGAUGAGAGCAGAGGGAAGGGAGAAGGGAGACGGAAUAAGAAUCUCGCAAGAUAAGAAAAAAAGACGGAUGGCUCGUAGAUGGUCUACUUUAUUGCGGCAUUGGACAUUAUAUAGCUUAUGAAGGCGUGACGGGAGGGUGGGAGCUUUGGUUCGAUCAGGUAGAGAAAGAGGAAGGGAGGAAGAUAGAGAGGCCUUCGCUCGUGAAUGAAUGAUCAAUCGUUCCGCAUAUUGACUGGCACGGCGAGAGGGUCAAAAUGAAUUUUUAUACACUGAUCGCUUGCCAUUCAUUCACAUUCGUUAAACGAUAAAACAGAGCAAAUUCACUUUGAGAACAUAUAUAGGAUUAAUUGGACGCAAUUACGUAACAGAAAACCAGCUGUUGUUGUUGAAAUUUUUUGUCAUUAUUGCGAAAUUUGCUCUAGCUUUUCUAUCAGAAAUAUGUUUCGAUAGAAAAAGUAUCGAAUUGUUCACGUGUGCUUUAAAGACAAAAAUCUUAAAUGCAAUAACAAGUACUCACAUAUAUAAUCCCUUUUGUGCCAUGAAGCUCGAUUGUGGAAACUUUACGAUUACAUUGUCAACUUCCAGAAUUUUCUUUUGUACUACACGCAGUGCAGCGCAAUGCAUGGCUUGCUGUUUAUAUGUAUUAUCGUGAUAUCACGCCAUUGUUUAUGCGAUUGCGAUUGCAAUCUUUAAUACAAAACUCUAGAGGCCGUUUCUUUUUACAUCUGAAUUGUAAAUUUCGUGCGCCGCGUGCGUGGAAUGAUAAAUACUAUCCUUCGUAGAGAGCCGGCUCCCCGGAGAACCGUACGUGACUCAGUCCGGAGAAUAGCUCCUUGCUUCUUGCGAGACGGCGGAUUGAGCUUUUCGAUGCUUUUUCCUCAGCCGCGAGAAGCAUAACCACGAGAGAUAACUGCGAACGAGCAGUGAAUUAAAUCGAAGUCAAUAUUUCCCUUAAAUUAUGAAAGAAUCGCGAAAGGUACCGGCGGCAAGGCAAAAUCGCGGACGGGCGAGUCGAGUGAUUGAACGUUUCAUCUUUAAUUUAAGAAAUAAUACGCGAUAAAUUUCGUCGGAACCCAUUAUCAAUCUUUGAUGGAUACGCUAUCGUACGUAAAGACCGAAAAGCAAUCUUGACGUUUUAUUUUACUCGAAACAUCUCAUAAGUAAAUGUGAAAUCUGUGGCGGUACUUCAAUCGUAUACAAGAAAGGAAAAAAAAA
Molecule: long non-coding RNA, 9110 nt
Organism: Monomorium pharaonis (pharaoh ant)
Lineage: Eukaryota; Metazoa; Arthropoda; Insecta; Hymenoptera; Formicidae
Exons: 2
Source: RefSeq, a predicted model, not a curated record